UCUUGCUGUCACUUAUAGAUGGAUCCGCGCUGCAUUAGCUAGUUGGUAAGGUAACGGCUUACCAAGGCAACGAUGCAUAGCCGACCUGAGAGGGUGAUCGGCCACACUGGAACUGAGACACGGUCCAGACUCCUACGGGAGGCAGCAGUAGGGAAUCUUCCGCAAUGGGCGAAAGCCUGACGGAGCAACGCCGCGUGAGUGAUGAAGGUCUUCGGAUCGUAAAACUCUGUUAUUAGGGAAGAACAUAUGUGUAAGUAACUGUGCACAUCUUGACGGUACCUAAUCAGAAAGCCACGGCUAACUACGUGCCAGCAGCCGCGGUAAUACGUAGGUGGCAAGCGUUAUCCGGAAUUAUUGGGCGUAAAGCGCGCGUAGGCGGUUUUUUAAGUCUGAUGUGAAAGCCCACGGCUCAACCGUGGAGGGUCAUUGGAAACUGGAAAACUUGAGUGCAGAAGAGGAAAGUGGAAUUCCAUGUGUAGCGGUGAAAUGCGCAGAGAUAUGGAGGAACACCAGUGGCGAAGGCGACUUUCUGGUCUGUAACUGACGCUGAUGUGCGAAAGCGUGGGGAUCAAACAGGAUUAGAUACCCUGGUAGUCCACGCCGUAAACGAUGAGUGCUAAGUGUUAGGGGGUUUCCGCCCCUUAGUGCUGCAGCUAACGC
Molecule: ribosomal RNA, 660 nt
Filed under: uncultured bacterium
Lineage: Bacteria
Description: bacterial SSU rRNA
Rfam family: Bacterial small subunit ribosomal RNA
Source: RNAcentral